This 404-nucleotide ribosomal RNA is filed under the name uncultured bacterium. RNAcentral's name for it is "partial 16S ribosomal RNA". It matches the Rfam family "Bacterial small subunit ribosomal RNA", at positions 28 to 526 of the family's 1533-position model. The record is from RNAcentral.
GACGAACGCUGGCGGCGUGCCUAAUACAUGCAAGUCGAACGCAGUGGGGACGGGUGAGUAACACGUGGGUAACCUCCCAUCAGAGGGGAGAACCCUUGGAAACAGGUGCUAAAACCGCAACCGAUGGAUGGACUCGCUGUGCAUUAGCUAGUUGGUGGGGUAAAGGCUCACCAAGGCCACGAUGCCUAGCCGGCCUGAGAGGAUGAUCAGCCACACUGGGACUGAGACACGGCCCAGACUCCUACGGGAGGCAGCAGUGGGGAAUCUUCGGCAAUGGACGAAAGUCUGACCGAGCAACGCCGCGUGAGUGAAGAAGGUUUUCGGAUCGUAAAACUCUGUUGUUAGAGAGGCGGUAUCUAACCAGAAAGCCACGGCUAACUACGUGCCAGCAGCCGCGGUAAUUC